Trichomonas vaginalis G3 is the source of this 72-nucleotide non-coding RNA. NCBI's taxonomy places the organism in Eukaryota, Parabasalia, Trichomonadida, Trichomonadidae. The record is from Rfam.
GCCCCAAUAGUAUAUCGGUUAGAACACAUCCUUUACACGGAUGGAAGGCCAGUUCGAUUCUGGCUUGGGGCA